This 2039-nucleotide ribosomal RNA is filed under the name Escherichia coli O26. Its description in RNAcentral is "bacterial LSU rRNA". Lineage: Bacteria; Pseudomonadati; Pseudomonadota; Gammaproteobacteria; Enterobacterales; Enterobacteriaceae. The record is from RNAcentral.
ACGGCGGGUGCUAACGUCCGUCGUGAAGAGGGAAACAACCCAGACCGCCAGCUAAGGUCCCAAAGUCAUGGUUAAGUGGGAACGGCGGGUGCUAACGUCCGUCGUGAAGAGGGAAACAACCCAGACCGCCAGCUAAGGUCCCAAAGUCAUGGUUAAGUGGGAAACGAUGUGGGAAGGCCCAGACAGCCAGGAUGUUGGCUUAGAAGCAGCCAUCAUUUAAAGAAAGCGUAAUAGCUCACUGGUCGAGUCGGCCUGCGCGGAAGAUGUAACGGGGCUAAACCAUGCACCGAAGCUGCGGCAGCGACGCUKAUGCGUUGUUGGGUAGGGGAGCGUUCUGUAAGCCUGYGAAGGUGUGCUGUGAGGCAUGCUGGAGGUAUCAGAAGUGCGAAUGCUGACAUAAGUAACGAUAAAGCGGGUGAAAAGCCCGCUCGCCGGAAGACCAAGGGUUCCUGUCCAACGUUAAUCGGGGCAGGGUGAGUCGACCCCUAAGGCGAGGCCGAAAGGCGUAGUCGAUGGGAAACAGGUUAAUAUUCCUGUACUUGGUGUUACUGCGAAGGGGGGACGGAGAAGGCUAUGUUGGCCGGGCGACGGUUGUCCCGGUUUAAGCGUGUAGGCUGGUUUUCCAGGCAAAUCCGGAAAAUCAAGGCUGAGGCGUGAUGACGAGGCACURCGGUGCUGAAGCAACAAAUGCCCUGCUUCCAGGAAAAGCCUCUAAGCAUCAGGUAACAUCAAAUCGUACCCCAAACCGACACAGGUGGUCAGGUAGAGAAUACCAAGGCGCUUGAGAGAACUCGGGUGAAGGAACUAGGCAAAAUGGUGCCGUAACUUCGGGAGAAGGCACGCUGAUAUGUAGGUGAAGUCCCUCGCGGAUGGAGCUGAAAUCAGUCGAAGAUACCAGCUGGCUGCAACUGUUUAUUAAAAACACAGCACUGUGCAAACACGAAAGUGGACGUAUACGGUGUGACGCCUGCCCGGUGCCGGAAGGUUAAUUGAUGGGGUUAGCGCAAGCGAAGCUCUUGAUCGAAGCCCCGGUAAACGGCGGCCGUAACUAUAACGGUCCUAAGGUAGCGAAAUUCCUUGUCGGGUAAGUUCCGACCUGCACGAAUGGCGUAAUGAUGGCCAGGCUGUCUCCACCCGAGACUCAGUGAAAUUGAACUCGCUGUGAAGAUGCAGUGUACCCGCGGCAAGACGGAAAGACCCCGUGAACCUUUACUAUAGCUUGACACUGAACAUUGAGCCUUGAUGUGUAGGAUAGGUGGGAGGCUUUGAAGUGUGGACGCCAGUCUGCAUGGAGCCGACCUUGAAAUACCACCCUUUAAUGUUUGAUGUUCUAACGUUGACCCGUAAUCCGGGUUGCGGACAGUGUCUGGUGGGUAGUUUGACUGGGGCGGUCUCCUCCUAAAGAGUAACGGAGGAGCACGAAGGUUGGCUAAUCCUGGUCGGACAUCAGGAGGUUAGUGCAAUGGCAUAAGCCAGCUUGACUGCGAGCGUGACGGCGCGAGCAGGUGCGAAAGCAGGUCAUAGUGAUCCGGUGGUUCUGAAUGGAAGGGCCAUCGCUCAACGGAUAAAAGGUACUCCGGGGAUAACAGGCUGAUACCGCCCAAGAGUUCAUAUCGACGGCGGUGUUUGGCACCUCGAUGUCGGCUCAUCACAUCCUGGGGCUGAAGUAGGUCCCAAGGGUAUGGCUGUUCGCCAUUUAAAGUGGUACGCGAGCUGGGUUUAGAACGUCGUGAGACAGUUCGGUCCCUAUCUGCCGUGGGCGCUGGAGAACUGAGGGGGGCUGCUCCUAGUACGAGAGGACCGGAGUGGACGCAUCACUGGUGUUCGGGUUGUCAUGCCAAUGGCACUGCCCGGUAGCUAAAUGCGGAAGAGAUAAGUGCUGAAAGCAUCUAAGCACGAAACUUGCCCCGAGAUGAGUUCUCCCUGACUCCUUGAGAGUCCUGAAGGAACGUUGAAGACGACGACGUUGAUAGGCCGGGUGUGUAAGCGCAGCGAUGCGUUGAGCUAACCGGUACUAAUGAACCGUGAGGCUUAACCUU